UGAGGAAUAUUGGGCAAUGGGCGCAAGCCUGACCCAGCAACGCCGCGUGGAGGAAUGAAGGCCUUCGGGUUGUAAACUCCUUUUACGGGGGAAGAGGAAGGACGGUACCCCGAGAAUAAGUCACGGCUAACUACGUGCCAGCAGCCGCGGUAAUACGUAGGUGACAAGCGUUAUCCGGAAUUACUGGGCGUAAAGCGCACGCAGGCGGCGCGCUAAGUCUGACGUGAAAUCUCUCGGCUUAACCGGGAGGGGUCGUUGGAGACUGGCGAGCUUGAGGCGAUGAGAGGGGUGUAGAAUUCCCGGUGUAGUGGUGGAAUGCGUAGAUAUCGGGAGGAAUACCAGUGGCGAAAGCGGCACCCUGGCAUUAGCCUGACGCUCAUGUGCGAAAGCGUGGGGAGCGAACGGG
RNAcentral lists this ribosomal RNA (406 nucleotides) under uncultured bacterium. RNAcentral's name for it is "bacterial SSU rRNA". It matches the Rfam family "Bacterial small subunit ribosomal RNA", at positions 355 to 776 of the family's 1533-position model. The record is from RNAcentral.